UGGGGAAUAUUGCACAAUGGGCGCAAGCCUGAUGCAGCCAUGCCGCGUGUAGGAAGAAGGCCUUCGGGUUGUAAAGUACUUUCAGCGGGGAGGAAGGGAGUAAAGUUAAUACCUUUGCUCAUUGACGUUACCCGCAGAAGAAGCACCGGCUAACUCCGUGCCAGCAGCCGCGGUAAUACGGAGGGUGCAAGCGUGAAUCGGAAUUACUGGGCGUAAAGCGCACGCAGGCGGUUUGUUAAGUCAGAUGUGAAAUCCCCGGGCUCAACCUGGGAGCUGCAUCGGAUACUGGCAAGCUUGAGUCUCGUAGAGGGGGGUAGAAUUCCAGGUGUAGCGGUGAACUGCGUAGAGAUCUGGAGUAAUACCGGUGGCGAAGGCGGCCCCCUGGACGAAGACUGACGCUCAGGUGCGAAAGCGUGGGGAGCAAACGGG
Molecule: ribosomal RNA, 429 nt
Filed under: Chloroflexota bacterium
Lineage: Bacteria; Bacillati; Chloroflexota
Description: Chloroflexi bacterium partial 16S ribosomal RNA
Rfam family: Bacterial small subunit ribosomal RNA
Source: RNAcentral